AGGUGCAGAAGUGGGCCUGGGAGAGGGAAUGCACGGAGAGGGAAUGCGCCACCGAAGGCAGCAGGCCCAGGGGCUCAGGAGGUGUGCCCUCCUAGCAAAGCAGGAGAGCAGGUACCCGUGAGAGGGGCCGCAGCAGGGCUCGGAGGUUCACCUGGGCUCCCCGUGCCAGGCCAGGGUGCGGGGUGGCAGGCGCCGCUACAGACCUGAGCUGCCGAUGGCCACGUGCUGGGACCCGAGGGACCAGGCCACGUGGAUACACUUACCGUAAGGAGGGGCCUCCGGGGUCCUGCCCUGCCCUGCGCGCAUGUGGAGGCCAUUUCCUCAGGCUGGCAGCCCCGGGGAGGGAUAGAGGGACCGCUAUCAGGGGCCCUGCUCAGUCUGUACAGUCAAAAGAAACCAAGGACGGUGACCAGCAGGCUUCGUCACCUCCCCAGUCUGGUGUCUGGGCACCUCAGAUGUGUAGCAGGCCUCCUUUGCCUCAAGCAGGGUCAGGUGCACCCCCUGCUCCGCGCUCCCAGGGGCACCUGGGAUGGCCUGAGGUUAGAGAACACUUGUCCCACACUGGUCUCUCCUGUUGCAUCUGGAUCGUGGGUUGAGUCUGAAACCCAGUGCGUAGCCACGGCCCCAAACUGCCAGUUCAGCCACGAGAGUAGCUUGGCGAUCUCCGCGGCCCUGGGAAUGGCUGCAAAGAUUUAGGCAGUAUUGCGGACUAUCUUCACAUCGGGGGCCAUCAGCAAGGUCUCUGACACACAGUCAUAGGGCCAGUUAGCUCGCAGCCACAUGUGCGGUGCAGAGACUGGGGGCGGGGGAGACACUGCCUAAAAAGAGAUGUAAUCACAGACGUUCCCGGCUUUUCCAUCCUGUGGUACAAUCUCCAGCCGGAGCGGUACCGCUCCAGCACUGUGUUUGCAUGAUGGUGAAGCCCGAGGGUCUGCAGGUCACCCUGCCCCCAGGCCACACACAGCCCAAGAUCAGCCAGAGCCACAGCACGGCAGCGUUCGAUGAGCCCGGUCAGUUCCCGGGCCGCUGUUGGAGGACUGACUGCUGGGUGUGGAGCGUUCGGCAGCGCGGGUGCUUUAGCUCGUCUAGCGGGGCGGCUGUGCCUUGCAGCUUUCACGCCCUGCCCUCACUCCUGAGUGUGGCUCGCAGCUCCCAGGCAGAGCCUUUCUCUCCCUCUCAUGGAUACCCAAACCAUGCCUCUGGUGAGUCCCCGGGAGAGGGUUCCUGCUGCCUGGAAACUAGCAGGGAUUUUAGCUUCAUGAGCCAGCCCUCACUGCCACCGUUUGUGGGGAGGACUCCCCAGAAGUGAUCUCCCACGAACUCCAUGGGCGCUUGACCCUGGAGCACUGGGGGGGGGGCGAGAUUCAGGGAUGGGGGCCUCACCCUGGGCUGCCAGCCUCGAUGAGCUCACCAGUAUGAAGUGGAUGGUGAACUGCUGGGAAAAUCCUCCAGAAGGGAGGGGUGGAAUCAGGACAAAGUAAAAAAGGACACUGUCGGGUUUGGGGGGUGGAAGCUUGAGGAUCGCCAGAGAUGACGAAAAGUGGAACUCGGGGUGGGGGGCUAUAACAUUUGGUGUGUGGGGUACUUGGGGUGUGAAGGCCCAGGGGGCAAGAAGCAGGAGGACAGUCUGGGCAAGACUUGGAUCCGCCUCAGGGAUCACUUGCCUCAAAGGAGCCUGAAGAGGGUCUCCAGAAGGAGUCAGCGUAGGGAGUUGCAAGGAGCACCGUGCUGGGAGAGUCCUCUGCUCAGUCUCCAGACAGGGAGCGUGGGCAGCCUGUCAGAGUCCAUCCUGUCAGGUGGUCCAAGGGCACAGGGUGCCACUGUCACUCUCUCAAGGCUCUGGGGCAAGGGCAAGGCCUCCGACGCCGGGCUCAGCCCUGUGCUGAGGGCCCCUUUCCACCGAGGAGGGGUCUCUCACCUCAGGCAGUCGGGAAUGUGUUCACAGUCGGCCUGGGUGGGCGCAGGGUGGGGCCUUGGUCUCCAGAAGAGCCCGGUGGGAUUCCAGAAGCUGACGCUCAACGGGUGUGUAUUGGGCUGGCACUGAGCCCAUGGAGGCCCAAACCAGUAGGAAGCCAGGUGGGCUCGUGUUUGCCCCUGGAGAGCAUGGAACCUCUGUGCCCCUUUCCCACGCACCCCGCCCUCUGCAUCUCUGCCGUCUGGCUAUUCCCCGUUACAUCUUCUUACAAUAAGAUGGUAACCUAGUCAGUAAACGGAUUUCUUGAAUUCUGUUAGCAGCUCUAGCAAAUUAAUUGAACACAAGGGGGGGCUCUGAUAUACGGCCAGUUGGUCAGAAGGCCAGGUAGAAACCUGACCUGGGGACUGGUGUCUGAAAUGGGGGCGGGGUGCACGUGCAGGCUUGCGGGACUGAACCCUGAAACUAUGGAUUAUUGCUUUGCAACCUCAGGAGCUCUCUGGGUGAAAUCUAAAACCGGCCUCCGUACAGGGAGGGCGAGGAGAGGUUGCUAGAAGAGGUGGACCUCCGUAGCCUGGCGGGCGGCAGGUUUCAUAAGCAAGGGGACGUCCGUGAAGGCUCCCUUGGGCAGCUGCACUGCGAGCAGAUCUCCACACCCGCCCCCCCCCCGAAUCUCCCAGGUUCACAGAGAGGCCUUAGUGGGGUCCAUCACGUGUGCUGUCCAGAUGGCCUCAAAACAGGGUCCAGGGCCCCUCGUACAGGGACCGUGGGGACAUACAUUCCAGGUCAGGGGAGGGGUCAGGAGCUUCUGACCCAAAGGAUCUAGUUUGUGGGUCAGUAGGUAGUCCUGUCUUCUCGAUGAUCUCCUCCAGCAGGAGUGUGAUGCCCUCUCUGGGGAGGUGGGGUCACUGGGUGAACUGACACGGCCGCACCCUAUCCAGACACACGAGCAGUUGUUGCUGAGGGAACAGCCCCGUGGCGCGGGCUCGAUAAAAGCCACUGUGAGGUGUGUCUAACCUGAGAAAGGGGACUGCUCAUUCCCCCCCCUUAUAAAACCAGGUGGCACCCCGGAUGAGGCGGCUGACAGAGCGUGGGCAGGCCUGUGGGACUGGCUUGCAGACGACCGGGUCGCCAGCCGCUGAAUGUGCCUGUUGCGCAGAUUAUAGUAAACGCUGUGACUGAGGGGCCACUUUGUACCUUCCCCGUUAGAAGCCUGAACAACAGUUCCAGAGAGAGGCCUUAGCGGAUUCGCCGGGGUGGGGUAGGGAGAAGAGCGCUUUCGGGGACUCCUUGACGCAGGAGCCCAUGAGCUGUGAUUCCAAACUCUGUUGCUGAAGUCUUGCCAGGGGCCCAGGUUCAAUCAGGAGGCCAUGGAGAUACAGCCUUCCAUGGGAUUAAGGGGGAAGUUUGGAUGAAAACUGGGUUUUUCUUUUUGAACAGAUUUGAUGUAAGGUGGUGGCAUCUUGUUGACCUGAAUGUAUGGGGUAGAUACUAUGUCCAAGUGCGGACUCCUUCUCUUGGCUGAUAGUUAGGACAGAAGGCCUGUGAGCCCACCGUCAGGCCAGCAUUAAUCGGAGAUGCCCUAUAGAAAGCACGAGAACUGCCUGAGCCCCCAGAGGUGGCUAAUUGAACGUGGUAUAGAAUACGGGUGGACAAGAAGAGCUGACCCCUUUGGUUCAUGACAUCCUAGAAACUGGAGUCGUGGUAGCGACAGUCUCCUCACAGUAGCCCUGUGUGCCCUGUGGGAGCAGCGACGGCUCACGGUGACCAAGAGUAAACCACUGAGGACUGGAGAGCCUCAGCGACUCCAGCCACGCAGAUACAACAGGCUAGGGGCGCCUGGCUGGCUCAGGCUGCGGAGUGGAGCAAGCGACUCCUGACCUCAGGGUUGUGAGUUCGAGCCCCCUGUUGGGUGUAGAGAUGACUUAAAAAUGAAAUCUUAAAAAAAAAAAAAAAAGGGCAAAAGAAAAUACAGCAGACUGAAGGAGAGGAGUCUGGUUCUCAGUGACUGAUCUUGCAAACACUUUCUUCUCUUCGUCUUGGAGAGGAGCCCACCGCAGUCUGCCUUCGUGCGAGAAGGGUCUUGAUGUACGUUUACUGCGCUGCCUCCGGUUAUCUGAGCUCAGCUCUACCGUAGUGAUGUGGUCAGAAAGGAUUCGACUUAUGCAGGGCUCAGGCGCAGUCACGCGCUGUGGUAAUGACGUUAUGAGAGAUCGGACAGUGAAGAUCAGGCUGGGACUGACUCGAGUGUGAGGGUGACGUACAGGACCAGCUAGUCCCGGUUAGGAAGUCCAGGAAGGCCCAAGGGUCUCCUCAAGCAGUGACACUCUCAGGAAUAACCUGGGCAGGAGCCACUUGGGAUGUCACGCAAGCAACUAAAAGUAAUUGUCACUGCCCAUCCCUAGGACCAAACAAGAAGCUAGCGUUUGGUCAGUGUAUUUGGAUUUUGGAGAAUGCAUGCUCCGUAUCUGGGAAUUUUGCUAACUCCCGUCUCUGAGACGACCCCAAAGAAAGCUGUAUUUGAGUGGGGACCUGCACAAAAGCAGGCCGUGUUUGAAUUAUGAAAGGUGGGAGCUCUCUCGCUGCCUUUGAACCCUUGUGAUCCCCACUCACAUGGGGCACAUGUUUGCCACCUGUACUCCUGCAGACUGGGGCUUAGGGUGAAAGCCCAUGAGCCCCUCCGUAGAGAGAAAGAUGGAGUCACUCGUGUCAAGCAGUGACGCAAGCAGCCCAAGGGCAUUGCAGCCAUGGCCAGAUACCACCAAAGCCAGAACAGACUGGCAGGACUAAGGACUGAUAACCUGUGAGGCCAUGUGAACCUGGAAGAACAGAGAGAGGAUAUCACUAGCAUCAGGAAAGCUGCAGAGGCCCAAGGCCGAUCACAGCCCUUUAAAAGGAGGACUUUCACAGUGAACUGUCAGGCUCUCCAGACGCUGACCAUUUCCCGUCUGACCACAUGAGAAAGGCAGCUGCCACCAAAGGCUCUGAACAUAACCGAGCUGCUCCCCCGUUGAACGUAAUAAGCAUGAGUGUGGAGAGCUGACCCUCAAACUGCACGGAAGCCUCGUCUCGGCCGCGCACUCACAGACCGAUUUCAUGCCGCUUUCAUUAACUUCUUACCCCUGUUGUAUCUUGGGGGUGUGACUUUGUAUUUUUGGACUUUGCUUUGUGGGACACAUGAUGCAGGUUUGGAAUCUAGGUGAGGUUCAGUGGGGUGAAGUCCGGAGUCCGGAGCCCACAGCCAAGAAUAAAUUCUCGAGAUGUCUUUGGUGCAAAAUGGUGGCUUAUUAAAGCACGGGGACAGGACCCGUGGGCAGAAGGAGCUGCUGCCCCGGGUUGUGAGGGGUGGCUGAUUAUGUACUAUGGGGUUGCAGGAGGUAAGGGAAAAGGUUUCAAAAGCAUUUUCAUAUGUUAAAGAAGACUCACAGGAUGACUGAGGUCUUGCCAUUGUCGAGCGAAGGUUGUUUUUCCCUCUAGUAAGGCAUUAACAUGAACAUAGCUGGGAACUUCCUGGAGGAACAUUACACUCUGCCAGCUUCAAGUAUCUGUCAAUGGGCUGCAGGUUAUAAGGACGUUUAACUGUAUCUACAUUCCCUUCUGGAAGCUAGGUUAUUAAUAGAAAUGCUUUGUUCUUGUAGACUGCUAAGACAGUUGUAAACGGAGGGAGACUCUGGUCUUGCAGGAUUGUGAUCUCUAGAAGUUCGCUAUUUGGUUUUCCCUGCCUUAGCUUUAGGGCCGCCGGGAGUGCCUGAGGAAUGUCACAUAUAUUCCCGUCUGGGGCGGGGGGGGGGUAGUUGUGGGGUGUAGAUUCUGCUCUGUCCUCAGCUUGCCUUCUGUUCCCUCAUCAGCAAGUAUGGAGCCAAGUUAAAUGGUAGCAAAAUGUCACUGAGUUUGGAAUCCUGAAACUGCUUUACAGUUAUGUUAAUCGUCAGGAUUGAAUAAAGCUGUGUCUUUGUGGAAAGACACAACUGGUGCGUAGGCGCUUCUGUAGAGUGACUGCCAACGGCCUCCCAGCAGUGACUGGGGGAUUUUGGACCAGAAAGUUCCCACAUAGCGGAUGUUGCUGGCCGGUGUCCACCAUUUGAGCGACAAUUCUUAGCCUGCUCUUGGGCACUGAUUAAGACAGUUUCCAGGACGUGAAAUAAUCAUGACACCUGAGAUACUCCUAAUGUCUUGGGUGAUGUCAGAGAAACUUUGUAAUCAGGAAGGCCGUGCCCAGAAGAGUUCCACAAUCACAUGGAAAUUGUUCACACAGGAGCACACCGCAUCCACGAGCAGCGAGGCUCUUUUUCUCUAGGACGGCCUUUGGAGCCUCGUGAGGAGCCACCAGAACCAACUAUCCUGUGGAUGGGGCUGCAGGAACAGCUCUCAUUGGGACAACAAGGAGCUGCUUGGUUGACGAUUGGCAGUUUCAAGAUGAAUGGACAACAUGCUGUUUGGAAAUAAUGGCUUCAGCACCUUGCAGGGAUACCAGCCUCAAAUAACUCCUCUUCCCACAUUCAGCAUCAACCAGAUGGAGAAAGUGCUCAGGUCAGCCCUGUCCCAGAUCACCUAGGGGUAGAAUUCCAGUCUUGAGGUAAGAAUGGGUAAUUUCAAGAGUCUGGAUGGGCUGGAGGAAGAGGAAUUGUUCAAAUACCAGGAGACAUUAUGAAGAGAUCUAGGAAAGCAGGAAUUCAAGUGAUCUUGAAUUUGCAAGAGGAUUUCUCACUGAUUGCCAGCAGUCAGUAGUAGAGAAAGCACUUGGUUGCUAUUCAAAGUUUUGCUGAAAGCCAUUGAAGUGCGGGCCAUGAAUUGGCAGAACUUGAUUUCUUAGGGUUCUCCUCCUACGUGGGGGGGGGGGAGUUUGUUACUUGGCACCUGCCCAAAUUCUCCUCCCAGUUAGCAUCAGGCUCACUUAAUUCUUAAAAAGCAGAUGAUGCUAUUCUUUAUUUGAAGCUCUCCUGUGGCUUAUUUUUUUCACAGGGGCAGGCCCAGCCCAUACCUAUGUGUCCAGCUUCCUGUAGUAUGUCCUCCACCCAGGUUUUCUGACUGCUCUUGGGAAGCACUGCUAAAACACAAAUACCUCCAAGACAGGAGCCCUCUGUCACAAUAUGAUCUUGUUCACCACUGUAUCCCUGGCAGCCCACAAAUGCCUGCUCCCUUGUUGGUGCUUAAAAUGUCUUUUCGAAUGAAUGGAUGUCCCCACAUCCACUAUCAGCGUCAACAGCUGUGGUCUGGACUUCUCAUGGGGGUUUUAUGCUCCCUUUACUAUCCAAUAACUAAAGUCUUCAGUACCUAUCUAUGGGUUCUUUAACACGAGUCUCACUAGCCUUUAUAGGUGGUGUUUUGGUUUGUUUGUUUUAUUUUGGUUAAUAUUCUGACAGUCCUUAUAAAACCGAGAAAGGUAGACUGUCCUCUAUUCAGAUAUGUUACAUACAAUUCAAUGUGUAUGUCUGAGAUAGAAGAGCAGCCUCAUGGGACAGAAGAGAUAAGACCUGAGGAUAAGAAGGUCACCAACACUGUGCUAAGAUCUGGAACACUGGAGCAGAGGGUCCCAGAUAAGUUCUAUUGACCACUGCUCAGCAGGAUGGACUAUGGGAGUUUUCCCCUUCAAAAUCCCCAGAGUACAGACCUAGCCAAGUCAGAAGAUGUAAGUGGAGACCAGGUACCAAGAGUCUACUCUACUUUGGCCAGCAGGAUUUGAUGGGACAAUCGAGGGCUUUGGGAGCAGACAGCUCACAAAAAGACAGUCACUCCAAUGAUUACCUUUGCAUUUGUAAAGGUGUUUUCAUGGAGAACACAGGCUCAAGCAUACCACACAGCUAUGAAAGUUGGAGGCUGAGAAGAGCAGACAGCCAUUUUAUAAAAUUGAUGUGAAGAAUGCUUCUAGAAACCCCAGAAGCAAGUUAAAACUUCAACAUUGUCUUUCAUUUAUUGAAGAGGCAGCAGAAUAACGAUGGCCAGACCGACUCUCUACGUCAGCGAGCAGUGGGAGAAAACAGAGGCCACACGCCCCCGAACGGUUACCUAUUUCAUGUGGAAUGCAUACUGGCUUGGAAAGGCUGCCUUGGAUCAGAUGAGGACACUCACUUCUUUUUGUGUUCUGCUUUGAUCUACUCCUGAGAGUUGGCAGUUGACCAAUGAGCUAAGAAGCAAAGAAUAUAGAGCAACCCACUUGCUCUAAUUAUAUUUCUACCAGACAUUCAAUACCUGAUCCACACUUUGACCUGCGAGAUGGCCCAACCAUGUGAGCCCUAUGUUUUCCUAUGUUUCUCAUGACCUUGUCAAUGACUUCUCCAAACGGGAUUUUUGGAAACUCAGAAAAGCUGAAGCCAGACUAUGACUCAGAGACUCUAUUCAGCUCAUCUUCUCCUGGAAAACUUUGUGCAAUACCAGCAAAAUUUCUAGACACAAGAAGACUUAUGCUUACUUGAUAAUUUUUGCCAUACUGCUCCCCAGUAAGGUGGUAUCAUUUUAGACUAUCAUCAAUAACACGAGUGGUUACAUCUCUUUAGUUAACCUUGGCUAAUUUAACUUGAAAAAAACAAUGAUUAACAACGUAUUUAC
Molecule: long non-coding RNA, 8458 nt
Organism: Ailuropoda melanoleuca (giant panda)
Lineage: Eukaryota; Metazoa; Chordata; Mammalia; Carnivora; Ursidae
Exons: 6
Source: RefSeq, a predicted model, not a curated record